RNAcentral lists this ribosomal RNA (253 nucleotides) under uncultured bacterium. Its description in RNAcentral is "partial 16S ribosomal RNA". It matches the Rfam family "Bacterial small subunit ribosomal RNA", at positions 524 to 776 of the family's 1533-position model. The record is from RNAcentral.
UACGUAGGGGGCAAGCGUUGUCCGGAUUUAUUGGGCGUAAAGAGCGUGUAGGCGGUUUGGUAGGUCCGUUGUGAAAACUCGAGGCUCAACCUCGAGACGCCGAUGGAAACCAUCAGACUAGAGUCCGGAAGAGGAGAGUGGAAUUCCUGGUGUAGCGGUGAAAUGCGCAGAUAUCGGGAGGAACACCUGUGGCGAAAGCGGCUCACUGGACCAUAACUGACGCUGAUGCACGAAAGCUGGGGGAGCAAACAGG